RNAcentral lists this ribosomal RNA (406 nucleotides) under uncultured bacterium. RNAcentral describes it as "partial 16S ribosomal RNA". It matches the Rfam family "Bacterial small subunit ribosomal RNA", at positions 30 to 526 of the family's 1533-position model. The record is from RNAcentral.
AUUGAACGCUGGCGGCAGGCUUAACACAUGCAAGUCGAACGAGUGGCGGACGGGUGAUUAAUGCUUGGGAAUCUAGCUUAUGGAGGGGGAUAACUCCGGGAAACUGUAGAUAAUACCGCGUACCAUAGGAUGAGCCCAAGUGGGAUUAGGUAGUUGGUUAGGUAAAGGAUCACAAAGCCGACGAUCUCUAGCUGGUCUGAGAGGAUGACCAGACACACUGGGACGGAGACACGGCCCAGACUCCUACGGGAGGCAGCAGUGGGGAAUAUGGCACAAUGGGCGCAAGCCUGAUGCAGCCAUGCCGCGGGUAUGAAGAAGGCCUUCGGGUUGUAAAGUACUUUCAGCGGGGAGGCGUUACCAACAGAAUAAGCACCGGCUAACUUCGUGCCAGCAGCCGCGGUAAUUC